CAGUCGCCACGGUAAUACGGAGGGGGCUAGCGUUGUUCGGAAUUACUGAGCGUAAAGCGCACGUAGGCGGCUUGGUAAGUUAGAGGUGAAAGCCUGGAGCUCAACUCCAGAAUUGCCUUUAAGACUGCCGAGCUAGCAGGUGAGAGAGGUAAGUGGAAUUCCGAGUGCAGAGGUGAAAUUCGUAGAUAUUCGGAAGAACACCAGUGGCGAAGGCGGCUUACUGGCUCAUACUGGACGCUGAGGUGCGAAAGCGUGGGGAGCAAACAGGAUUAGAUACCCCGGUAGUCCCUGUCUCUUAUAC
This 301-nucleotide ribosomal RNA is filed under the name uncultured bacterium. Its description in RNAcentral is "partial 16S ribosomal RNA". It matches the Rfam family "Bacterial small subunit ribosomal RNA", at positions 509 to 807 of the family's 1533-position model. The record is from RNAcentral.